This is a non-coding RNA of Rattus norvegicus (Norway rat), 69 nucleotides long. The record is from Rfam. NCBI's taxonomy places the organism in Eukaryota, Metazoa, Chordata, Mammalia, Rodentia, Muridae.
GGGGAUUUAGCUCAGUGGUAGAGUGCUUGCCUAGCAAGCACAAGGCCCUGGGUUCAGUCCCCAGCUCCG